UGGUGUUAGCUCAGUGGUUAGAGCACCUACUACCUAUGUACGAAGUCAUGGGUUCGAGUCACCAUGGGGGCAG
RNAcentral lists this transfer RNA (73 nucleotides) under Rosa chinensis. RNAcentral's name for it is "tRNA RchiOBHm_Chr5g0047741". Lineage: Eukaryota; Viridiplantae; Streptophyta; Magnoliopsida; Rosales; Rosaceae. The record is from RNAcentral.